GUGUCAGCCGCCGCGGUAAUACGUAGGUGGCGAGCGUUAUCCGGAAUUACUGGGCGUAAAGGGCCCGCAGGCGGCUUCUUAAGUCUGACGUGAAAGCUCCUGGCUUAACUGGGAGAGGUCGUUGGAGACUGGGGGGCUUGAGGCGAUGAGAGGGGUGUGGAAUUCCCGGUGUAGUGGUGGAAUGCGUAGAUAUCGGGAGGAACACCAGUGGCGAAAGCGGCACCCUGGCAUCGGCCUGACGCUGAGGGGCGAAGGCGUGGGGAGCGAACGGGAUUAGAAACCCGUGUAGUCC
Molecule: ribosomal RNA, 292 nt
Filed under: uncultured bacterium
Lineage: Bacteria
Description: partial 16S ribosomal RNA
Rfam family: Bacterial small subunit ribosomal RNA
Source: RNAcentral